RNAcentral lists this ribosomal RNA (410 nucleotides) under uncultured bacterium. RNAcentral's name for it is "bacterial SSU rRNA". It matches the Rfam family "Bacterial small subunit ribosomal RNA", at positions 29 to 434 of the family's 1533-position model. The record is from RNAcentral.
AACGAACGCUGGCGGCGUGCUUAACACAUGCAAGUCGAACGCGAAAUUUUUCUUCGGAAAGAGAGUAGAGUGGCGCACGGGUGAGUAACGCGUAAGUAAUCUACCCUGGUAUCUGGGAUAACCCACCGAAAGGUGUGCUAAUACCGGAUACGCUGAGUAAUCAGGAAAGGUGGCCUCUUCAUGAAAGCUACUGUACCAGGAGGAGCUUGCGUACCAUUAGCUAGUUGGUAGGGUAAUGGCCUACCAAGGCAACGAUGGUUAGCGGGUCUGAGAGGAUGAUCCGCCACACUGGAACUGGAACACGGACCAGACUCCUACGGGAGGCAGCAGUGAGGAAUAUUGCGCAAUGGGGGAAACCCUGACGCAGCGACGCCGCGUGGAUGAUGAAGGCCUUCGGGUCGUAAAAUCCU